UUUAAGAUGAACAAACAGAUGCUCGCAAACCUUGGUCUGAAGAUAAAUGUUAAGGUUGGUGUUCUUGUUGUGUUUUGUGCAUUUUCUUCAGUUGCCGAGUCUAAGACAACCUUCUUUUCUCAAACGUUUGGGGAAGGAACACUGUGCUGCCUGAUGCAGUGUCAAGGUGCAUCCCUUUGGUCAGCGAGAGGCCAACGAUCAUAUUCGGCACUGCUGUCACACACCCCUAUUUAGUGAAGACAGCAGCCCUUCCAUCGCUGGAGGCAAGGAGGAGGACUAAAUGGCUGGCAAGCUGGGACCAGUAGCUGUACGACUUAGAAGCUGGAGAUCCUAGGGGCAACAGAAACAUGCCGUAGUCUCGCCAUCUAGCUAUCUGCUUCUCCCUUUUUGGGAGUAAUGAUCAAUUGUGGAAUGGACAAAGCUACUGGAGAAGCACCACCUGCUCAAUCCAGUUAAUCUGGAGGUUUAUUUUACCUGGACAACUCAUCGCAACAAUCGGAAACAACUAACAACCAGCGCCGCCCCCUCGGAGCAGCGACACGACACCCCAACAGCCUGGCUCAUCCUAUCAUUGUCGGGGGGAUACAGUGAAUGGGUUGCUAGCGCAAUACUGAAGCUUGAGAAUAUUUGUUCAGAUAUGAAGAACAUCAAAGAAGUGACUUGGGGUUUGUAACUCCUACAAGACCUGGUGAUGUGCUGUCUGUGGUGGACAUUUGGCUUCGACUACUUGCUGCAUUGAGUUCACCACGCCUCAACCACAGUCACAGUGGCCUCUUCAUCAUCUUGAUGGUUUAGUGAGGAUGACAACCAGGGUAAGUUUGGUGGAACCUAUAGCUGCUGCCCGCAGCGUGAUGCAUCACUUGGAAGCUUGAUGAUUGCGGUGUGUGAGCAGCCAAGGUUUCACAUUCGAUAACCGCGUGGUUGUGGCAUUUAUGUGUUGUAUGUAACCAUCCCAUGAUCGCGGAAACUUUUGAGCUGUGCAUCAGCUUUCGUUGGUGUUGGUAGUUUACUGUCUGUGAUUUCUGUUUAAUUCGACCUCUGGUAUGGUUAAAUCCCACCUGAGGUGUGCUGUUGCACUUGUGUAGUUUGUGAAGUA
Lolium rigidum is the source of this 1096-nucleotide long non-coding RNA. RefSeq lists it as uncharacterized. The transcript is spliced from 6 exons. The record is from RefSeq and is a predicted model, not a curated record. NCBI's taxonomy places the organism in Eukaryota, Viridiplantae, Streptophyta, Magnoliopsida, Poales, Poaceae.